Molecule: transfer RNA, 94 nt
Filed under: Lepeophtheirus salmonis (salmon louse)
Lineage: Eukaryota; Metazoa; Arthropoda; Copepoda; Siphonostomatoida; Caligidae
Rfam family: tRNA
About the family: Transfer RNA (tRNA) molecules are approximately 80 nucleotides in length. Their secondary structure includes four short double-helical elements and three loops (D, anti-codon, and T loops). Further hydrogen bonds mediate the characteristic L-shaped molecular structure. tRNAs have two regions of fundamental functional importance: the anti-codon, which is responsible for specific mRNA codon recognition, and the 3' end, to which the tRNAs corresponding amino acid is attached (by aminoacyl-tRNA synthetases). tRNAs cope with the degeneracy of the genetic code in two manners: having more than one tRNA (with a specific anti-codon) for a particular amino acid; and 'wobble' base-pairing, i.e. permitting non-standard base-pairing at the 3rd anti-codon position.
Source: Rfam by way of RNAcentral
CCUUCGAUAGCUCAGUUGGUAGAGCGGUGGACUGUAGUAGGAGUCUAACUUAUCAGUAAUCCAUAGGUCGCUGGUUCAAAUCCGGCUCGAAGGA